Molecule: long non-coding RNA, 678 nt
Filed under: Heterocephalus glaber (naked mole-rat)
Lineage: Eukaryota; Metazoa; Chordata; Mammalia; Rodentia; Bathyergidae
Description: lncRNA (ENSHGLG00100040701.1)
Source: RNAcentral
GUUGUAACAGAGGGUCAACGCAGUGCUUCUGAGAGACAGGAAUGGAUACAAAAGACAGCUGAGAUGCCCUUCCUUCAGCACUCUAAGAGCAGCACACAGACACAACUCAGUGUCUCCGCUUCACUGUGUGUGGGGUCCAGGAAGCCAAGGAUGUUUGAGGAGCCACAGAACCUUCCCUGUCCGGUGUGGAGAGAGAGCUGAGAGUGAGAAGAGGAUCAGCAGGGUCUUGCUAUGUGGUUCAGGCUGGCCUUCAACUCACUAUGUAGCACAGGCUGGACUCAAAUUUGCAGAGAUCCUCCUGUCUCAGCCUCCCAAGUGCUAGGAUUACAGGUAUGCACCACCAUGCCCCACAGCUGGCACAUCUUUGGAAGAUAGGAGAACUGAAAUUUUUUUCCCUCCCCCUCCUUACAGAAAAGAAAACUGAGCCUGGAAGUUUAUCAAGGCAAGAUAGAAACAAUCCAGCCAUGUAACCUCCAGAUGGACACAUGCUUACUUUGGGCAAGAUGGGCAACACUUGCCCUCCUCCCUGAGAGCCUCUCCAUACCCAGGGCAAGCUGGCUGGGAGCGCAUUUUCCCUGGCUGAAUCCUGUCUCCAGCCCAGAGUCCCUCCUGGAGCAGCCAGCACAAUUAUGCCCACUUUCCUCUCUGAAAUGGUUGACCUGCAUUUCUGAGUUGCUG